Molecule: ribosomal RNA, 2904 nt
Filed under: Shigella flexneri K-304
Lineage: Bacteria; Pseudomonadati; Pseudomonadota; Gammaproteobacteria; Enterobacterales; Enterobacteriaceae
Description: 23S ribosomal RNA
Source: RNAcentral
AAGGUUAAGCCUCACGGUUCAUUAGUACCGGUUAGCUCAACGCAUCGCUGCGCUUACACACCCGGCCUAUCAACGUCGUCGUCUUCAACGUUCCUUCAGGACCCUUAAAGGGUCAGGGAGAACUCAUCUCGGGGCAAGUUUCGUGCUUAGAUGCUUUCAGCACUUAUCUCUUCCGCAUUUAGCUACCGGGCAGUGCCAUUGGCAUGACAACCCGAACACCAGUGAUGCGUCCACUCCGGUCCUCUCGUACUAGGAGCAGCCCCCCUCAGUUCUCCAGCGCCCACGGCAGAUAGGGACCGAACUGUCUCACGACGUUCUAAACCCAGCUCGCGUACCACUUUAAAUGGCGAACAGCCAUACCCUUGGGACCUACUUCAGCCCCAGGAUGUGAUGAGCCGACAUCGAGGUGCCAAACACCGCCGUCGAUAUGAACUCUUGGGCGGUAUCAGCCUGUUAUCCCCGGAGUACCUUUUAUCCGUUGAGCGAUGGCCCUUCCAUUCAGAACCACCGGAUCACUAUGACCUGCUUUCGCACCUGCUCGCGCCGUCACGCUCGCAGUCAAGCUGGCUUAUGCCAUUGCACUAACCUCCUGAUGUCCGACCAGGAUUAGCCAACCUUCGUGCUCCUCCGUUACUCUUUAGGAGGAGACCGCCCCAGUCAAACUACCCACCAGACACUGUCCGCAACCCGGAUCACGGGUCCACGUUAGAACAUCAAACAUUAAAGGGUGGUAUUUCAAGGUCGGCUCCAUGCAGACUGGCGUCCACACUUCAAAGCCUCCCACCUAUCCUACACAUCAAGGCUCAAUGUUCAGUGUCAAGCUAUAGUAAAGGUUCACGGGGUCUUUCCGUCUUGCCGCGGGUACACUGCAUCUUCACAGCGAGUUCAAUUUCACUGAGUCUCGGGUGGAGACAGCCUGGCCAUCAUUACGCCAUUCGUGCAGGUCGGAACUUACCCGACAAGGAAUUUCGCUACCUUAGGACCGUUAUAGUUACGGCCGCCGUUUACCGGGGCUUCGAUCAAGAGCUUCGCUUGCGCUAACCCCAUCAAUUAACCUUCCGGCACCGGGCAGGCGUCACACCGUAUACGUCCACUUUCGUGUUUGCACAGUGCUGUGUUUUUAAUAAACAGUUGCAGCCAGCUGGUAUCUUCGACUGAUUUCAGCUCCACGAGCAAGUCGCUUCACCUACGUAUCAGCGUGCCUUCUCCCGAAGUUACGGCACCAUUUUGCCUAGUUCCUUCACCCGAGUUCUCUCAAGCGCCUUGGUAUUCUCUACCUGACCACCUGUGUCGGUUUGGGGUACGAUUUGAUGUUACCUGAUGCUUAGAGGCUUUUCCUGGAAGCAGGGCAUUUGUUGCUUCAGCACCGUAGUGCCUCGUCAUCACGCCUCGGCCUUGAUUUUCCGGAUUUGCCUGGAAAACCAGCCUACACGCUUAAACCGGGACAACCGUCGCCCGGCCAACAUAGCCUUCUCCGUCCCCCCUUCGCAGUAACACCAAGUACAGGAAUAUUAACCUGUUUCCCAUCGACUACGCCUUUCGGCCUCGCCUUAGGGGUCGACUCACCCUGCCCCGAUUAACGUUGGACAGGAACCCUUGGUCUUCCGGCGAGCGGGCUUUUCACCCGCUUUAUCGUUACUUAUGUCAGCAUUCGCACUUCUGAUACCUCCAGCAUACCUCACAGCACACCUUCACAGGCUUACAGAACGCUCCCCUACCCAACAACGCAUAAGCGUCGCUGCCGCAGCUUCGGUGCAUGGUUUAGCCCCGUUACAUCUUCCGCGCAGGCCGACUCGACCAGUGAGCUAUUACGCUUUCUUUAAAUGAUGGCUGCUUCUAAGCCAACAUCCUGGCUGUCUGGGCCUUCCCACAUCGUUUCCCACUUUAACCAUGACUUUGGGACCUUAGCUGGCGGUCUGGGUUAUUUCCCUCUUCACGACGGACGUUAGCACCCGCCGUGUGUCUCCCGUGAUAACAUUCUCCGGUAUUCGCAGUUUGCAUCGGGUUGGUAAGUCGGGAUGACCCCCUUGCCGAAACAGUGCUCUACCCCCGGAGAUGAAUUCACGAGGCGCUACCUAAAUAGCUUUCGGGGAGAACCAGCUAUCUCCCGGUUUGAUUGGCCUUUCACCCCCAGCCACAAGUCAUCCGCUAAUUUUUCAACAUUAGUCGGUUCGGUCCUCCAGUUAGUGUUACCCAACCUUCAACCUGCCCAUGGCUAGAUCACCGGGUUUCGGGUCUAUACCCUGCAACUUAACGCCCAGUUAAGACUCGGUUUCCCUUCGGCUCCCCUAUUCGGUUAACCUUGCUACAGAAUAUAAGUCGCUGACCCAUUAUACAAAAGGUACGCAGUCACACGCCUAAGCGUGCUCCCACUGCUUGUACGUACACGGUUUCAGGUUCUUUUUCACUCCCCUCGCCGGGGUUCUUUUCGCCUUUCCCUCACGGUACUGGUUCACUAUCGGUCAGUCAGGAGUAUUUAGCCUUGGAGGAUGGUCCCCCCAUAUUCAGACAGGAUACCACGUGUCCCGCCCUACUCAUCGAGCUCACAGUAUGUGCAUUUUUGUGUACGGGGCUGUCACCCUGUAUCGCACGCCUUUCCAGACGCUUCCACUAACACACACACUGAUUCAGGCUCUGGGCUGCUCCCCGUUCGCUCGCCGCUACUGGGGGAAUCUCGGUUGAUUUCUUUUCCUCGGGGUACUUAGAUGUUUCAGUUCCCCCGGUUCGCCUCAUUAACCUAUGGAUUCAGUUAAUGAUAGUGUGACGAAUCACACUGGGUUUCCCCAUUCGGAAAUCGCCGGUUAUAACGGUUCAUAUCACCUUACCGACGCUUAUCGCAGAUUUAGCACGUCCUUCAUCGCCUCUGACUGCCAGGGCAUCCACCGUGUACGCUUAGUCGCUUAA